CCUACGGGAGGCAGCAGUGGGGAAUAUUGCACAAUGGGCGAAAGCCUGAUGCAGCGACGCCGCGUGAGGGAUGACGGCCUUCGGGUUGUAAACCUCUUUCAGCAGGGAAGAAGCGAGAGUGACGGUACCUGCAGAAGAAGCGCCGGCUAACUACGUGCCAGCAGCCGCGGUAAUACGUAGGGCGCAAGCGUUGUCCGGAAUUAUUGGGCGUAAAGAGCUCGUAGGCGGCUUGUUGCGUCGGUUGUGAAAGCCCGGGGCUUAACCCCGGGUCUGCAGUCGAUACGGGCAGGCUAGAGUGUGGUAGGGGAGAUCGGAAUUCCUGGUGUAGCGGUGAAAUGCGCAGAUAUCAGGAGGAACACCGGUGGCGAAGGCGGAUCUCUGGGCCAUUACUGACGCUGAGGAGCGAAAGCGUGGGGAGCGAACAGGAUUAGAUACCCUGGUAGUCCACGCCGUAAACGUUGGGAACUAGGUGUUGGCGACAUUCCACGUCGUCGGUGCCGCAGCUAACGCAUUAAGUUCCCCGCCUGGGGAGUACGGCCGCAAGGCUAAAACUCAAAGGAAUUGACGGCNGAGACGNGCGACGCGACGACGAGGGAGAGG
Molecule: ribosomal RNA, 600 nt
Filed under: uncultured bacterium
Lineage: Bacteria
Description: bacterial SSU rRNA
Rfam family: Bacterial small subunit ribosomal RNA
Source: RNAcentral